UUUGUUGGCUGUGCUGAGAAGGUGGAGUCAGUGCUGUAAGGAGCUGCCUGUGAGAAAGCACCGAGAAGUGUUAAUUCAUGUGAAGAAGCAUUGCUUAGACAGAGCCCUUCUGGGGAUGUAACUGCACAUUGUGAAAUAGUUGGUGGCUGUUCUCACUUAGAAAUUCCCUCCCUACCAUUCUCACACUGAUUUUUCUUCUCUCCACAAAUUGUCACCCUGGGCUAUGCUGGUAUGAUGGUCCAUGAGGGUACACCAUACUUGAAAGACAUUGACAUACUUGACCCCAUUUUAGAGGAUUUGUAUUUUAUGUUUUUGGCAAGCACAAUAUACGGGUGCCAAACACAAAUGCCAUCCCCUCAGCCAGAUAUCAAAGCUGCAAAAAUAUGGUUGCCAUAUUUACUAGGAUUUAGAAACAUUGUUUCAUACAAGGGGGACAUAAGAGAGGGGUCAUUAGGGAACUGGGCUUCUGGCACUUAAAAUCAGGAGUAUCAUGAGCUUGUAAACAAGUGUUGAGAAAGCCAGUAUGUUCAGAAGAACAUGUGGUUUGAAGUGGAAAUUGUGGUACUGGUAAUGCUGUGGGAUUUCAGAUACAUCAGUCAAAGCAGAGAAAAAUCAAAUAGGCUGCCAGUUAAAUAAGAAAAUGUGGCAGAAACAACUGCUUAAAAACUAAGAUAAACGAUGAGGGAAACAAGUCCAGCCCUAAGUGGAAGAAGUGGCAUAAUACACUUACCAGAAGCUUGACAGAAGAAAGUUAAUCCACAGAUUAUAACAUCAAAACAAAAAAUUUGUUGAUGGAGGUGAAAAUUAAGUAGGCCUUCAUGGUGGUGAUGUGAUGUUACUUACUUCUUAAAAGUUAGAAUAUAAUGAAGAAACUCUCCGCUUCAGCAAACAACUUUAUGAAUUCACGUGGACUGAAAUACAAAGCCUAAAUCAAAUGCACCAUUUGGUUGGUAACUGCCCAGCAAGGAUGGUAACAUUGCAUUCAGUAUCCUAAGACUACCAGAGAAGCCGCCAAAUCAGCACACUGGAAGCAUUGGGCCAACACAGCCUGUUUAUGAAGAAAAGUGUGGAAAAUGGCAGAAGAAAACCCACAUACUAGCGAGGAAGUGACAAGCGUAAUAAAAGCAAGACAUGCUCUGUGAAAAACCAUAUGUCCGUAUUAAAAGAAUAGAAAGAAUUGUAUAGUCUGGCAGGUAACAUGUAAAAGCACAAGAAGACAAGAAGAAUUUUGAGGAGCAUCUAGCAGAGGAAUUCCCAAGUAGCAACAAAUCUUUCUUCCAGUAUAUCAAAGACAGGAACUAAGCCAAAAUUUGAAGGGCAAGGGUAGUAAUCAUGGUAUGAAGAGAGUACUCAGGAGGAUCAGGCCAUUGCAGAGGGGUUACGUUAAUUAUUUUCAUCUGCACUCACUUCACAAGAAACAGGGCAGAUUCUCAUCUAAGGUUGGUCAUUGUGAGAGACUCCUCAGAGGACCCACAUGGAAAAGAAGUGGCUACAUAAAACAUGGAGAAAAAAGGGCACACAAAGAGUAGCACAUUGCCAGGACAAGGUGGUGUUCAAGACAGAGUUCGGGAGGAAUUCAAGCCUGAAAGAAUUGAAUGACUCCUAAAACAUGACAGGUAACUUUCACAAAGCUGCCUUGGAACCCGAGGGCAACUGAAAAUCUGAAGGCAACUUUUGAAACACUUAAGAUGAGACAUGGGGAAGUACAAAAUUCCUAAGCAUUUUUAAAAGCAUGAUCUGUACCAUGCAGAAUAGCUAUCAAGAGCAGUGUUAUUUAAUAUCCUGAUAAAAUGAUGGGGUUUUUGGCCUUUCUUUUGAACAUGUUACAUGGAUAACCAUGAUGUGGUUGAUGUGGCUUACUUGGUUUUUCCAAAACUCUUUUGAGAAAUGUGUUACUAGAGGCGUUUAGAGAAACUUCGCACCAUGUCAUGAGAGGGAAGACCCUUGUUAAAUUCUUAGAAGACAGGAGAAAUUGGUCAAUUUUCACUGUAGAAGGUAGUGACAGAUCUGUGCUAGAGCCUUUGCUGUUCAACACGGUUUUAUAGUACUUUGAAAAGCAUGUUAGCACUGAGGUAAUCAAGUUUGAUGAUACUAAUUUAUUCAGGGUAGUAAAACUUGGUGACUGAGCAAUAAAAUGACAACUGAAAUUCAGUACAGAUAAAUGUUCAGUGAUGUACAUAAAGAGAAGAAAUACUGAUUUCACUUCCAUGAGCUGCCUGGAACAAGAGUUGGGAGUUAUGAUCUAUAGUCACACAGAAACAUCAGUGUUCGGUAGUGUUCAAAAGAGUAAAUCAAAUAUCAGGAGCCACUAGGCGAUGAAUGAAGAACAGAAGAGAGACUGGUGGUCUGCCACAAUGUAAAUCUGUGGUUUUGCCCUGUCUGUAAUAUGUUGUGCAGUUCUGGUCUUGUCCCUCCCUACCACCUCAAAAAAAGUACAAGGGACCAAAGAACCUUUAGUUAAGUUCAGCAAGGAUGGUCAGAGACAUAGUUUAACAUCCAUGUUAGGAAAUUACUUAAGCUGCAGCUGUGAAAGGACACAUUCUCAGUGACAAGGGGAAAACUGUGGAAUAAGGAAGCAGGAAGAAACUAAAUUAUUAGGGGCAACAAAUAAUUAUAAUCACAAUAAAAAAGGAGUUGAAGGAAAAGUCAGAGGGCAAAAACCAUAGAAACAGGGAAAUAGAGAUACUAAAGCAGUAAGCAAAAUGCUUCUUGAUAGCACAUUGAGGGCAUCCAAAGACAUGGUGAAUGCUGCUCAGCCAUUCUGUACACAGAGGCUUAGCAAGGUGUAUGACCACAACCCAACACUAAAUACCGAAAAAUUUCUUUUUUAGUUAAAUACAGUUAGUUUGAUACUCAUUUACAUUUGGAAUUUUUCAGGUAUUGUAUGUUUUAACUAAUUUAACUGUUUUGUUGAAAUGCAAAUGAUAAGCAGAUAUCUUUUAAUGUAUUCCGGAGUCCAGCUUCACAUGAAGCUUUCAGAUGACCUCCUGGGACUCUAAACUAAACAAACUCCAAACUUUCCAAUUUAAAUCAGGAGGACAGCUAUUUGAACUCAUUUUUCUGUAUAAUCUUUAUCAGUAUACCAGCUCAAAAAUACAUCAGUCAGUCAGCAUUAUAACAAGACUUUAUUUUAAUAUUGUUCAUUAUUUAAAUAAUAAAAAGGAACUGAUUUAUCUAUUUUCUAUCUUAAAAUCCCAUAGGGCUGAGACAACCAGGUAAUUUCCAACCAGUUCAUGAAUGCUAGUCUAAUAUAGACCAGUAGUGGCUACAUUAUGGUGAGCUGUGGUUAAAAUCACUGCAGGUAUUCUAGUUAAUGAAGUGUUAGUUGGGUGGCAGAUGAUCAUGGUGUGUUGGGGUCAUGUGAAUCAUCAGUACAGGAGAGGGAAGGCGUAAAUGCUGAGCUGUGUGACAUGAAAGAAGGACAUUGAGGAUUGUCCUUGUAAAUUGUAGUCUUCGCCACAUUCAGCAUCUGCUGACCUGGGCCAAAAUGUAGUUGCCAAUGUGCAGGUGGAAAGCUCUGUAUGCUGCUUGUAGGUAACUCAUAUUUAUUUUAUAGACAUUGUAACAGCAAAGGCCAAAGGGUUUACUGAAUUUAGAAAACUUGGGGAAAUUCAGAGUCAAACCCCCAAGUUUUCUGAUUCCAAAUUCUCUUCAGAGGUGAUGAAGGGAAGAAGGUGUAAAAUCAUCCCAAAUAAAAACCAAAAAUUUCAUAUGUAGGUCUUAGCAGAUGAGCAGUCAGUCAGCAAUUGUAAUCUUAGGGAUGCCAAUAAUUUCAAACAACAUUUAUUUUAUGAAGAAUAUUUCUUAUGUAACAUGAAUGGAGACAAAUCCCUUCUAUGAGAAGAACAAAUGAUUUUGUAAUAGCAUAUGUCUGGACUCAUCUUCCAGGUAUGCAGUCACCUUCACAGAAGCCUGAUGCUGACUUUCUGUGGGGAAGGUUAGAAGAACUACAGGCUCAUCUUCCGUAUGAGUUAUCUCCUGGGCUACCUAGGUCAUUGCCAGUGAACUUCAUCAUUAUUUUAGUACCAAAGAAGCAACAAAAAUGUGUUAUCUUUUUUGUGGACACAUGAGUAAAAGGAAAUGGAAAAUUAUGGCAGGUUUUAAACAUCAGAGAAGUGUCAAGAUAUUAAAGUUGUGGUUUAGUGCUUCAUUACAACUUUAUAUUAAUUAGAUUAAUGCUUCAUCACAACAGGCAUUAAAAUGCCUGUUGCCUCCUGUAGUUUUUCCUCUUGUUCCCUUCUCUUUUUUCUUGCUAAUAUUUGUUCUUUUCACUGGCGUUGCAUGUCCUAUCAAACUUGUCUAUUCUUCUUCUGUUUUAUACAUCCCAUUGCAACACCUCUGUCCUCAUCAUCUUAUGUACUUUGUCAGUGUUUGAGUUCCCUAGCUGUCUUUUUUUACUCCUGGUGAUUUGUCAGAGGUAAAAGAAAGUAGAAUCUUCAAAGACAUUGGAUACAGACCUGUAAUACUUUUCCACUUAAGUCAGUGUGUAUUGUCUGAUUUUUCUGGGGCUUGUAGCUUGGCAAAGUAUGAAUGCCUCUCUAGGGAACUUCAGUGAGUGAAAGUGCUGUUUUUCAAGUUCUUUUUUCAAAGGAUGUAGGUAACUGAUUUUUUAAAAUGAAAUAACUGAGAGUCCAUAUGAAGUAAGCAAGCUGUUAUCCCCCCGUAAUUCUUAAAAAUCACAAGUUCAUUUGAAACACUGACUCUCCCUUUUUAUCCUUUGAUUUAAUUCUGAAAAUGACACUUACUCCAGAAAAUAUCAGCCCACACAAUCAAGCUGAAAAGGGUUUCAUGAUGGAAAAAGUUAGGAAAGCUUAACAGCAGGUGUCAGUGUGAACUCUGCCUUUCUAAUUAAGGGUGAAGCCAAUCUGACUAAGAAGUUUCAGCACCAUCGCAUAAUAUUUUCAGUUGUGGAUCUUAAAAACUCUUAUUAUUCAAAAGUGCUUUCCAAAUAUUGUUCUUUCACAUGUCCAAUAGUUACCAUAUCGUAAUCAGGCUAUUUUUCUCUCUUUUCAGCAAUUUUCACUAGCAGCAGCCCCAUAAUAAAAACCUUCAAAUCAAAUAAAAACCUUACCUCUGAAAGCAGAAACCAUAAUAGUAAAUAUUUGCUGUUAUACAAUAUCUAUUGAAUUUGUUUUAUAGAAGAAUGUGAUAAAUAAGUGAUAAGGUUGAUUGGAAAGACAGACUAGACUAUGAAAACACAAAAUACAAUUUUGAAAAGAUUUCAAGAAUGGUAUAGUCAGUAGAAAAAAAAACCCUAGAGCAGAAAGUCACUGAGGCAUGUAGUAAUAAAAAUCAAUUGUCUGCAGAGCUGGCUGAACAAGCUGUAAGCUGUUAAUGAAAGGAAUUAAAUUAGAAUUACCUGGAAACUAGUAAAGUGGGGGGUUAAGGUAGAAGAAAUGAACACUUUCAUAAUGAAAUCCAUUUAGGUAUUCCUUCUUCCCUCCUGCCUUUAGUCAAUAGCUUUGCUCAUCCAUAUCUGUGCUAGCUGCAAAAAGAUAUUUUGCAUUUUUUAACAUCUUUGGAGUGCCUGCCUAUAUUUCUUCUCCACAUAUUCCAGUUAUUGCACUGUUGGGCUAUUUAGUCCUUUUUUUUUUUUUUUUCUGAGAAGAGAGGCAUCGAAACUUCUACCAACAUGUUUGUUUUACAGCAUGGUCUAUGUGAAAGCUGAGGAUAAUCACAGAUGAGGCAUCCCUGUGUAUUUAUUCUAUUACUAGAUAUGAGACAAAAAACUCAGCCAAUCUAGAAGAUAUUUUUAAGAUCAUGAUUCUUUCAAAAGUUGUGAUAUACACACACACAUAUAUGUCUAUCUGUGUGUGUAUUUAUAUAUAUAUAUUCAUACAUACAUACAGAUAUAUAUAUAUAUAUGCAGAUGAGCAAGGCUAGAAGGCAGCCAGGUUCUCCCAGCUGAGAAUUCCCCUGGCUGCCAGCUUUGGCUGGCACCUACCACACAUUGCUCCUAUGUCACUGAGCUGCAAGUACCUUGUCCUUCAGCUGUACUCAGUCAGUGCAUGUAGAGAAACUUUCACUAGGAUAUAGAACAGUGUGAGUCUGUCUUGUGAAUCAGUCAUCUGUAACUACCUCCAUCAUUCUGCCUCCUCUGCACCCCCAAAAACUUUCCAUCUUUUUGGCUGUGUGUUUUGACUGGCUACCAUGAUGUACUGCCUGAGUGACUCCAGAAUGGGAAUGUAUUAUCUUCCUGAUCACUGUGAGGAAGAAAAGCUCUGCUACUCCUCAUAUUACACAUAGGGAGUUAAGGCCACACUGUUUCUACUGACUCCGAAAUCAAUGUUUGAAUUCAAAGAACCAAAUCACCUGAGCUGUGUCUGCACAGCCUGGAAGAGCACAGGUAUGAGCCAGUCCUGCUCUCUGCCUUAGAUUUCUUCUAUGGAGAGACAUUUUGAUUUUCCAGAUGAAAAACAAAGCAACCUGCUUUUGUCAACCUGCAGGCAGUCCCCAGAGAAUUUUGCCUGUGAUCCCAAGUGACAAGGCAGUGUAAAUACAGCAGCAAUUUAAAAGCCUGAGCUAUUACAGUAAUUAGGUGUCCAUAAUUUCAGCACAGCGCAACUAAAUUUUAUGAGAUAUGGACUCAAGGGUGGCAUCCAAAGCCCAGAUUUUGGGGACUAAACAAAGUUUGGAAACAUCAUGUUCUGAGGAGUCAUUUGGAAUUAUCCCAAAGGUACCAGGAAAAAGGUUUGUCUGAGAACUCAUUCUGUUUGAGACUUGCAUGACUAUACUCAGACUACAAGCUAAGAAUCUAGAUGUCCUCUGAAAGUACCUACAAGUGGGAAGGGAGCCAAGUAAGCUUUGGUUGUACUGUACCAUCUAUCCCAAUGGCUAGAGCAUUCAGCCUGCAAAUGGGAACCUCUGUCCCUUCCAAUUUGUCUCCCUGCAGCUGGAAGUGUUUAAAAUCAUCAUCUCUUUGGGGUUGUCUUUACCAUCAGUGUAGCUGGUGGUCUUCUUAAAUGGAUUGUACUGGAGGCUGAGAAGAGGCAUAAUCCUGUAGCCUAACAGGUUAGGCAUUAUGGACUGGGCUUUCAACAAUUUGUCCAAAACAAGAGAGGCACUCUGCAGAAGCACAAAAUAACGCUCUGCCCUCUUGGCUUCCAGACUUGCGGUGGUGGGCACUCAUCUCUGGCUACUGCUAGCAUUGGAUAUUCUACCUGCAUCACAUUUAAAUGGAACUCCAGCCUGACAUACUGCAUGGAAUAAUCAAUUUACAGAAAAAACAAGCUGCACCUCAAACAGUUUCUGAAUUUAGUUGAAUUUUGUGUUGCAUCUGUUGCUAUGAGAUUAAAAUAAAAGGGGAAGGUGGCUUGUUAAAACAAAUAGAAAAAACCCUCAUCCAUAUGGAUUUGGUUAUCAAAAGUUAUUGUAACUGAAUGAAACCUCAUUAACUUGGUCUUUACUUUCCUUAAGCACCCUACUUGCCCUGAGCACUGCAGAGAAGGGGUGAGAUGUAUGUCUAAAUCAACAACUAACACCAUUCCCAAGAAUAUUCCCAGGCCCAGAAGCCAAUUGGCAUAGACUGACUCACAAGUACCCAGUAAACAAACACAGCCAGCCUCCAGAGCAGGCUGACUGGAUGCAAAUCCUUUGGUGCUAAUGAUCUGUGGGAUGUUGAAAUUCCAUGCCUGGGAAUUGCUUGGGAGACAGCUAGUUGGUACAGGCCAAAAGCAUGUCGGGGACUGCUCUAAUAAUUUCAGACCUGUCAUGUUCCAGUGUCUGGGAAGAGUCACAGGUACUGUUUAAUUCACUGGUGUAGACAUAGCCUUAGGUUCACUGGUGUACUCCACAAAUACUUUCCAGCUGCUGAGAUGAUAAAGACUGGUGAUUAUUAGUGGGGAAAUAUUAAAAAUUAAAUCUUGGCUCAAAUUAUUUCUUUGUUGU
Passer domesticus (house sparrow) is the source of this 7887-nucleotide long non-coding RNA. RefSeq lists it as uncharacterized. The transcript has 3 exons. NCBI's taxonomy places the organism in Eukaryota, Metazoa, Chordata, Aves, Passeriformes, Passeridae. The record is from RefSeq and is a predicted model, not a curated record.